RNAcentral lists this ribosomal RNA (255 nucleotides) under uncultured bacterium. RNAcentral describes it as "partial 16S ribosomal RNA". It matches the Rfam family "Bacterial small subunit ribosomal RNA", at positions 524 to 776 of the family's 1533-position model. The record is from RNAcentral.
UACGUAGGGUGCGAGCGUUAAUCGGAAUUACUGGGCGUAAAGCGUGCGCAGGCGGUCUGUUAAGACCGAUGUGAAAUCCCCGGGCUUAACCUGGGAAUUGCAUUUGUGACUGCACGGCUAGAGUGUGUCAGAGGGGGGGUAGAAUUCCACGUGUAGCAGUGAAAUGCGUAGAUAUGUGGAGGAAUACCGAUGGCGAAGGCAGCCCCCUGGGUCAAGACUGACGCUCAUGCACGAAAGCGUGGGGGAGCAAACAGG